UACGGGGGGGGCAAGCGUUGUUCGGAAUCACUGGGCUUAAAGGGCGCGUAGGCGGGCCUUCAAGUCCGGGGUGAAAGCCUCCAGCCUAACUGGAGAAGAGCCUCGGAGACUGAGGGCCUCGAGGGAGGUAGGGGCAAGCGGAACUAUGGGUGGAGCGGUGAAAUGCAUUGAUAUCCAUAGGAACUCCGGUGGCGAAGGCGGCUUGCUGGACCUCUUCUGACGCUGAGGCGCGAAAGCCAGGGGAGCAAACGGG
Molecule: ribosomal RNA, 253 nt
Filed under: uncultured bacterium
Lineage: Bacteria
Description: partial 16S ribosomal RNA
Rfam family: Bacterial small subunit ribosomal RNA
Source: RNAcentral